CAAUAGCGUAUAUUAAAGCUGUUGCGGUUAAAAAGCUCGUAGUUGGAUUUCUGUCAAGGACAACUGGUCCGCCCUCCGGGUGAGCACAUAGUUUGGUCUUGACAUCUUGCUGGAAGCUGUUGCUGCACUUGGCUGUGUGGCGCAGUGUUCAGCACUUUCACUUUGAGGAAAUUGGAGUGUUUCAAGCAGGCACAUGCCUUUGGACACAGUAGUAUGGAAUAAUUAGAUUGGGCUUUUGCUCCAAUUUGUCGGUUUCUGGAGCUGAGGUGAGUAUUAAUGGGGAUUGUUGGGGGCAUCCGAAUUUAGCCGUCAGAGGUGAAAUUCUUGGAUCUGCUAAAGACGGACAACUGCGAAAGCGUUUGCCCAGGAUGUUUUCAUUG
Molecule: ribosomal RNA, 380 nt
Filed under: uncultured eukaryote
Lineage: Eukaryota
Description: partial 18S ribosomal RNA
Rfam family: Eukaryotic small subunit ribosomal RNA
Source: RNAcentral